GGGUCCUUAGCUCAGCUGGGAGAGCGCCUGCAUGGCAUGCAGGAGGUCGCGUGUUCAAGUCACGUAGGAUCCA
This 73-nucleotide transfer RNA is filed under the name Lacticaseibacillus nasuensis. RNAcentral describes it as "tRNA-Ala". It matches the Rfam family "tRNA". From Rfam's summary of the family: Transfer RNA (tRNA) molecules are approximately 80 nucleotides in length. Their secondary structure includes four short double-helical elements and three loops (D, anti-codon, and T loops). Further hydrogen bonds mediate the characteristic L-shaped molecular structure. tRNAs have two regions of fundamental functional importance: the anti-codon, which is responsible for specific mRNA codon recognition, and the 3' end, to which the tRNAs corresponding amino acid is attached (by aminoacyl-tRNA synthetases). tRNAs cope with the degeneracy of the genetic code in two manners: having more than one tRNA (with a specific anti-codon) for a particular amino acid; and 'wobble' base-pairing, i.e. permitting non-standard base-pairing at the 3rd anti-codon position. Lineage: Bacteria; Bacillati; Bacillota; Bacilli; Lactobacillales; Lactobacillaceae. RNAcentral also lists the same sequence under 1 other name. The record is from RNAcentral.